Molecule: non-coding RNA, 78 nt
Organism: Podarcis lilfordi (Lilford's wall lizard)
Lineage: Eukaryota; Metazoa; Chordata; Lepidosauria; Squamata; Lacertidae
Source: the annotation of a GenBank genome assembly
UGUGUGGGUGUGUGUGUAUAUAUAUAUACAUAUAUAUAUAUAUAUAUAUAUAUAUAUAUAUAUAUAUACACACACAUU